Molecule: transfer RNA, 71 nt
Filed under: Xyletinus sp. XYL01
Lineage: Eukaryota; Metazoa; Arthropoda; Insecta; Coleoptera; Ptinidae
Description: tRNA-Lys
Source: RNAcentral
CAUUAGAUGACUGAAAGCAAGUAAUGGUCUCUUAAACCAAUAAAUAGUAAGUUAGCAUUUACUUCUAAUGA